ACAUGUUUAUGCAGUGGUUUGCCCACCAUGCCUGUAACAAUACCACACCCAACUUCCUGUCACCCCCUUCAUGUUGUCGUCUUGCGCUGCUCUCUGUCCUCAUCUUUAUUUCCUGGCCUCUGGCCAAUACUGAGUGUCAUUUUUCUGCUAUUAUAAGCCCCCAUAGCCCCAACCAGCUAAAACCCUGUCCUCACUCUAUCUCUUUACUGCACCUCUUCGCCCCCAGAUGCAUUCUGGUCAUUUUCUGUGUGGUUUGUUUUUGGCAUCAGUUCAGUGAGCUGUCAUUGCCAUUUAAUGGCUGGGUGCUCCCUGGCUCACCAGUGUUGUUUCUCCUAUUGCCAGAAUCUCUGACCCUGGCUGCACACUUCUAAUUAUAAUUGAUGCCUUAAUGGCUGCAGUGCUUGACAUGUUGCAGUUUUACAUACAUAAAAAUAUAACAACAAUUUCUAAAUUGGGGCAAAUAUACAAGAAGUCGAGAAGCACAUAUAUUGUGUGUUUUUAUGCUGAAUUAUAUUACAUGUCAUUUAGCUGACGCUUUUGUCCAAAGCAACUUACAUUUUUUAAGAACACUCAGCAUUUAUGAGGGGCCAUUUGUAGGGGUUCAGUAAGGACACUUAGGCAUGCAGAUGGGAAAGAGUGGGAUUCGAAACCAGCAACCUUCUUGUUGCAGAACACCCGCUCUAUCGCUAGGCCACGCUCUCACACUUUAGAAUGUAUACCGUUUUAAACACAGAAGAACAGCAUUCAUGUGUAUGUAUCCCUCGUGAAAUUAAGGCUACUAACCUCAGGUGUAGUAAAACUCCCCACCAAAAGGGGGCACACUAUGCGUUUUGUUCAAUGUACUCCCCACCAAUAAGAAACCCUUUUUUUCUCCUGAGAUUUUCUCAUUAUACCAGUAGAGAGAGAAGCUUCCGGAUAAGACGUACAACUUGAGAGUGAUAUACAAAGUGAUUACAUACAGUAAUCUAAUACUGGAAACUCCGAUUUGUUUUUUAUGAACACCAGAUGAAUCCAAAUGCUGAGAUGGUGAGCUAACCCAGAUCUUGGAUGCAGUGUGGCCAACUGAAUGAUCCAGAUCCAACCUGAUCGUAUAUCGAGAGACAUAAAGGCCCGGACCAGAACGGAAUCGUUGAAUCUGCAAGCACACUAUCCUGUGAACUGUAUAUAUACACACACACACUGAAAGGACGUUUAUUUUAGAAGAAUCAUAUAUUAUAUUCAUUUUUUAACGUUAUACUGUUUUAUAUUGUGAUUGUUCUUUGACUGAAUCUGAAUAAAUAAACUGUUCAUUAGUUCAACUUG
This is a long non-coding RNA of Platichthys flesus (European flounder), 1302 nucleotides long. RefSeq lists it as uncharacterized. The transcript is spliced from 2 exons. The record is from RefSeq and is a predicted model, not a curated record. Lineage: Eukaryota; Metazoa; Chordata; Actinopteri; Pleuronectiformes; Pleuronectidae.